AGGUUACUGCUAUCGGUGUUCGCCCAAGCCAUGCGAGUCAUAUGUUCUUCGUGAACAUGGCGUACUGCUCAGUAACACGUGGAUAACCUGCCCUUGGGUCCGGCAUAACCCCGGGAAACUGGGGAUAAUUCCGGAUAACGCACAUAUGCUGGAAUGCUUUAUGCGUCAAAUGGAUUCGUCCGCCCAAGGAUGGGUCUGCGGCCUAUCAGGUAGUAGUGGGUGUAAUGUACCUACUAGCCUACGACGGGUACGGGCUGUGAGAGCAAGAGCCCGGAGAUGGAUUCUGAGACAUGAAUCCAGGCCCUACGGGGCGCAGCAGGCGCGAAAACUUUACAAUGCGGGAAACCGUGAUAAGGGGACACCGAGUGCCAGCAUCAUAUGCUGGCUGUCCGGGUGUGUAAAAUACACCUGUUAGCAAGGGCCGGGCAAGACCGGUGCCAGCCGCCGCGGUAACACCGGCGGCCCGAGUGGUGAUCGUGAUUAUUGGGUCUAAAGGGUCCGUAGCCGGUUUGGUCAGUCCUCCGGGAAAUCUGACGGCUUAACCGUUAGGCUUUCGGGGGAUACUGCCAGACUUGGAACCGGGAGAGGUAAGAGGUACUACAGGGGUAGGAGUGAAAUCUUGUAAUCCCUGUGGGACCACCUGUGGCGAAGGCGUCUUACCAGAACGGGUUCGACGGUGAGGGACGAAAGCUGGGGGCACGAACCGGAUUAGAUACCCGGGUAGUCCCAGCCGUAAACGAUGCUCGCUAGGUGUCAGGCAUGGCGCGACCGUGUCUGGUGCCGCAGGGAAGCCGUGAAGCGAGCCACCUGGGAAGUACGGCCGCAAGGCUGAAACUUAA
RNAcentral lists this ribosomal RNA (839 nucleotides) under uncultured archaeon. RNAcentral's name for it is "bacterial SSU rRNA". It matches the Rfam family "Archaeal small subunit ribosomal RNA", at positions 21 to 859 of the family's 1478-position model. The record is from RNAcentral.